Acanthopagrus latus (yellowfin seabream) is the source of this 5873-nucleotide RNA transcript. It is a transcript of the gene named UPF2 regulator of nonsense mediated mRNA decay, with no coding region annotated. The record is from RefSeq and is a predicted model, not a curated record. Lineage: Eukaryota; Metazoa; Chordata; Actinopteri; Spariformes; Sparidae. The transcript has 22 exons.
AAAAUAUAACCGAAGGUAAUUUAAUGGUGAUAUUUUCAGUUAGGCAUAAUUUGUGGACCGCAAUAUGAAAGGGUCCUUCUGCGGUUCACACGGAAACCAACGCUAAUGACCGAUGUUUGUUUUGCUACAAUUAGCAGUAUGCCUGCUGAACGCAAGUGCUCAGUAAACAUGGAUGAGAAAGACGUUAGCUCCUUCAGCAACAAGGAGAAAGAAAAGGACAGAGAUGGUGAGAGAAGACCAGCAUCUGCUCGGGACAAAGCAAAGGAAGAGGCCAAAAUGAGCGGUAAAAAAGACAGUGGCAAGGAGGAGAAGAGAAAGCGCCUAGAGGAAGAAAAGAAGAAGAAGGAGGAAAAGGAGCGGAGAAAGAAGGAGGAGGAGAAACAGAAAGCCGACGAGGAACAGAAGAAGAAAGAGGAGGAGGAGAAGAGACAGCAGGAGGAGCAGGAGAAGAAGCUGCAAGAGGAGGAAGCCAAAAGGCAACGUGAAGAGGAGGCAGCUCUCCUGAAGGAGAAGGAGGAGGGGCAUCAGCUGCACCAGGAGGCCUGGGAGCGCCAUCAGUGCAGGAAGGAACUCCGCAACAAGAACCAGAACGCCCAAGAGGGUCGACCCGAAGAGGCCUUCUUCAGCCGACUGGACUCGAGCCUUAAAAAGAACACUGCCUUUGUCAAGAAGCUGCGUACACUCACUGAACAGCAGCGAGACUCGCUCUCCAAUGACUUUUCCUCACUGAACCUCAGCAAGUACAUUGGCGAGGCCGUGAGCUCCGUCGUGGAAGCCAAGCUGAAGAUCUCUGACGUCGGCUGUGCAGUCCACCUCUGCUCGCUCUUCCACCAGCGCUACACCGAGUUCGCUCCCUUACUGUUGCAGUCGUGGAAGAAGCACUUUGAAGCAAGGAAGGAAGACAAGGCGCCCAACGUGAGCAAGCUGCGCACAGACCUGCGCUUUAUUGCUGAGCUCACCAUCGUUGGGCUCUUCACGGACAAAGAGGGCCUUUCGCUUAUUUAUGAGCAGCUGAAGAACAUUAUCGGGACUGACAGGGAGACACACACUCACGUGUCAGUGGUAAUCAGCUUCUGUAAGCACUGUGGGGAUGAUAUUGCUGGUCUGGUGCCCCGUAAGGUGAAACUGGCUGCUGAGAAGUUCAGCCUGACCUUCCCUCCGAGCGAGAUAAUCAGCACGGAGAAGCAGCAGCCCUUCCAGAACCUGCUGAGGGAAUACUUCACCUCCCUCACCAAACACCUGAAGAAGGACCACCGGGAGCUGCAGAACACUGAGAGGCAGAACAGACGUAUCCUACAUUCCAAAGGGGAGCUGAGUGAGGACAGACACAAGCAGUAUGAAGAGUUUGCCACUUCCUACCAGAAGCUGCUGGCCAACACUCAGUCCCUGGCUGAUCUGCUUGAUGAGAACAUGCCAGAGCUGCCUCAGGACAAGACAGUGCAGGAGGAACACGGUCCUGGCAUUGAUAUUUUCACCCCUGGUAAACCCGGAGAGUAUGACCUGGAGGGAGGGAUCUGGGAAGAUGAAGACGCUCGUAACUUUUAUGAGAACUUGGUGGACCUGAAGGCUUUCGUUCCUGCCAUCCUCUUCAAGGACAACGAGAAGAGUGGACAGGGUAAAGACAAGGACGAUGGCAAAGAUGGCAGAGACGGGAAGGAUUCAGCCAGUACCACAGAGGAACUGGAGCUGGAGCUGGAGGCGCUGGACAUCACAGAUGAACCUCUUGAACUUGAGGGAGCAGACGAGGCUGAAAACGAAGAACUGGCCAAGAAACUACUGGAUGAGCAAGAACAAGAGGAUGAGGAGGCCAACACAGGCUCCCACCUGAAGCUCAUCGUGGACGCCUUCAUCCAGCAGCUUCCCAACUGUGUCAACAGAGACCUCAUAGACAAGGCUGCCAUGGACUUCUGCAUGAACAUGAACACCAAAUCUAACAGGAGGAAGCUUGUGCGAGCCCUCUUCACUGUCCCCCGGCAGAGGUUGGAUCUUCUGCCCUUCUACUCUCGCCUGGUGGCAACUCUUCAUCCCUGCAUGUCAGACGUGGCUGAGGACCUCUGCUCCAUGCUGAAGGGAGACUUCAGGUUCCAUAUUCGGAAGAAGGACCAGAUCAACAUCGAGACAAAGAAUAAAACGGUCCGAUUCAUCGGGGAACUGGCCAAGUUCAAGAUGUUCUCAAAAACAGACACGCUUCAUUGUCUCAAGAUGCUGCUGUCUGAUUUCACCCAUCACCACAUCGAGAUGGCGUGCACGUUGCUGGAGACCUGCGGACGCUUCCUCUUCAGAUCCCCCGACUCUCACCUGCGUACCAGCGUCUUACUGGAGCAAAUGAUGCGCAAAAAGCAGGCGCAGCAUCUUGACGCCCGCUACGUGACGAUGGUGGAGAACGCCUAUUACUACUGCAACCCGCCGCCUGUGGAGAAGACGGUGAAGAAGAAGAGGCCGCCGCUGCAGGAGUACAUCCGCAAGCUGCUCUACAAGGACCUGUCCAAGGUCACAACAGAGAAGGUGCUCAGGCAGAUGCGUAAGCUGCCCUGGCAGGACCCCGAGGUGAAGAGCUACCUGAUCUGCUGCAUGGUCAACAUCUGGAACGUCAAGUACAACAGCAUCCACUGUGUGGCCAACCUGCUGGCCGGCCUGGUGGCCUACCAGGAGGACGUGGGCAUCCAUGUGGUGGACGGAGUGCUGGAGGACAUCCGGCUGGGCAUGGAGGUGAACCAGCCCAAGUUCAACCAGCGGCGGAUCAGCAGCGCCAAGUUCCUGGGCGAGCUCUACAACUACCGCAUGGUGGAGUCAGCCGUCAUCUUCCGCACCCUCUUCUCCUUCAUCUCCUUCGGGGUGAACCAGGACGGCAGCCCCAGCUCGCUGGACCCUCCGGAGCACCUGUUCCGCAUCCGCCUGGUGUGCACGCUGCUCGACACCUGCGGCCAGUAUUUCGACCGCGGCUCCAGCAAGAGGAAGCUGGACUGUUUCCUCAUCUACUUCCAGCGCUACAUCUGGUGGAAGAAGAGCAUCGAUGUUUGGACCAAAGACCACCCGUUCCCCAUCGACAUCGACUACAUGAUCAGUGACACGCUGGAGCUGCUGCGGCCCAAGAUGAGGCUCAGUUGUUCCCUGGAGGAGGCCACCAAACAGGUCACCGAUCUGGAGAGGGAGGUGCUCGUCAAACUAGGCCUGGCCAUGGAGAAGGACGGCCGCUCCAGCGCCAUGAGCGAAGGCGACGGUCUCGACGAGGAGGACGACGACGACGGCGAUGACGAGGAGGGAGGCGCUGAGACUGAGGAGCAGUCGGGCAACGAGAGCGAGAUGAACGAACAGGAAGAAGACGAAGGGUCGGAGAACGAAGAAGAGGAGAGGGAGGAAGAGGAGGAAGAGAACACAGACUAUCUGACUGACUCCAAUAAAGAAAAUGAGACAGAUGAGGAGAACAAUGAGGUUACGAUCCGCGGCGGUGGACUGAAGCACGUUGCCUGCGCCGAGGACGAGGACUUCAUUCAGGCUCUGGAUAAGAUGAUGCUGGAGAACCUGCAGCAGCGUAGCGGCGAGACGGUGAAGGUGCACCAGCUGGACGUGGCGAUUCCUCUGCAGCUGAAGAGCCAGCUGAAGAAGGGAGGAGGAGGACAGCAGUGCAUCGGGGAGGCCGAGUCCGACAUCUCUGAAACCAUGCAGUUCGUCAUGCUGACACGCAAAGGCAACAAGCAGCAGUAUAAGAUCCUGAACGUGCCGCUGUCCUCCCACCUGGCGGCGAACCACUUCAACCAGCAGCAGGCCGAACAGGAGGAGCGCAUGAGGAUGAAGAAACUGACGCUGGACAUCAACGAGAGGCAGGAGCAGGAGGACUACCAGGAGAUGAUGCAGUCCCUCGCCCAGCGUCCGGCGCCAGCCAACACUAACCGGGAGCGCCGGCCUCGCUACCAGCACCCGAAAGGCGCUCCCAACGCCGACCUCAUCUUCAAGACCGGAGGAAGUGCGAUUAAAGAAAGGCAUUAGACGAGCGAGAGACGGGACAGGAAAGACGAGCAGGAUAGAGAAGCCAAAGGCGUGACGUGGAGUAGGCUAGAACAGGUCGAGACCCAGCGAGGACUUCAGUUAUCAGAGAUGAAGCUUCAGAAAAGAGACGCUGAUUGGAGUCUGGUCCUGGGCUGAACGAGCGAGCGAAUGAACGAGCAAGAGAGUGAGAGAGCGAGAAAGAGAAGAUCGGAGGGGGAAAACCGGUCUCAACGGGGAACGAGUCCUGCAGACGCCCACUGAUGCCGGGACAGACCACACCCCCCUGACCUGAACACACACUCUUACCCCCACCGAGGGGCGCGAAGUCGAGGAGGAGAGGCAAAACCAGGAGCUGGGGUCAGAGGUCAGGGGUCAGAGAGACGGCUCUCUUUCUUUUUUGUCUGUUGCCUGAGAUGACGAAAAAAUAAAACAACUGUUUGGACCAGAGAACGAACCACAAAGACGACUGAACACCUGACCGGCCGACUGAAGGCGAGACAGACAGGAAGUGGAGACGCAUCACCUCCCGCUCAGAUAAAAAGGGGGGGGGACACUUUUUUAGGAGUUAAAAAACCUGCGAGUGGACAAAAACAUGACAUGAGACUAGAAACGGAUGUGGAUAUUUUUUGUUUUUGAACCCAGGAACACGUCUGGUUCAGUCGACACUGAGACGAAAGAGCGCGAGGCUCAAUGCAACUUGUUCAGGAACUGUUCACACAGCGACGACGAAGAGGAGGAGGAGGCGGCGUUGAUGAAUCGUGUGGUUAAAAAAAGAUCGUAGAGUGGCUGAUUUCAGAGUGGUGUGUCACGAUCAACAACAACUCAUCAGCAUAUAAUCAUUUGGUAACACUCUAUUUCACGUGUCUGUUAUUUACUAAGAAUUUCCAAGAAAUAACUACAAAAUCCGGCACUAAUUAAAUAGAUUCUGUUUCUCAGUUUCAGUCAGCUUUGGCCUUUAUGCUAAGCUAAGCUAAGCUAAGCUAACCGGUCGCUGGAAGCAUCUUCACAGACACGUCGACGGUGUCGAUCGUCUCACGUACGCAGCCGGACGAGCUGCACACCAGCAGUGACGCAUCACUCUGCAUCAACGUAAACGUCACUUUUUUAAACGAUCGUCUUCAUUCAGACUCCUGUAAAGACGCGGACACGUGAUCGCUGACGGACACCUGGGUGUACAUAUUCUGCAUUUUCGCUCUUUUUUUUUUGUUUUUUCCAGAAUCGAGAGCAUCUGCGUGUUAAUUUUGAAGAUAUUCAGCUUGCUUUGAUUUGAAGUUGUGACGUACUUUUGACAGAAGGAUAACCGUGUGCCUGAGAGUCCUCCUCAGUGACAAUAUUAAUUUUAGAUUAAUUUAACUGUCGAGCCUGUAGAUGGAUAAAUAUUCUCUGUAUUCUGCUGCAUGGGCCUCUUUUCUGCACCGUCUCAUCCUCUGUUGUAGUGAAAGCGUCCUGCGGUGGCUCUGAGUUAGUUUUGUCUGUGUCUAGAGUCAAAACUGUUCACUCUUUUUUCCUGCAAGCAAAAAGAAAAGAAGAAAAAGAAACAGCUUUACGGCUUUUUUUGUGUCCCGGCUCAUGACAGACAGAUGAUCAACAAUAAAUGUCUGAAGAUGAUCGCUGGUCGUCUCGUGUUUGUGGCGUUGUGUUUUGAGUGGGUGCGUCUGCGUGUCGGGGUUUAAUUACAAGGCAGACGAGCAGAAGUAUUUCCUCAUUUUCUGCACAGUCACUCCUCCAAACACGACAUAUGUUAAACAUUGACUGAUUUAACCUGUUUACUGCCCACCUGCACUAUAUAUCAGACACCGAGACAGGCUGAGCUCACUGGAGUCAUUUUUCUUGAUUGUCUUGAUUUUCUUGAACUUGGCAUUAAAAUAAAAGUCUUCAGAAGUGGA